RNAcentral lists this ribosomal RNA (617 nucleotides) under uncultured archaeon. RNAcentral's name for it is "bacterial SSU rRNA". It matches the Rfam family "Archaeal small subunit ribosomal RNA", at positions 106 to 701 of the family's 1478-position model. The record is from RNAcentral.
AACCUACCCUUGAGACGGAGACAACCCCGGGAAACUGGGGCUAAUCCCCGAUAGACGAGAACUCCUGGAACGGGUUCUCGUCUAAAAGGCAUCAAGGCCAUGCUUCUUGGUGUCGCUCAAGGAUGGGGCCGCGGCCGAUCAGGCUGUUGGUGAGGCAACGGCUCACCAAACCUAUAACCGGUACGGGCCGUGGGAGCGGGAGCCCGGAGAUGGGAACUGAGACAAGGUCCCAGGCCCUACGGGGCGCAGCAGUUGCGAAAACUCCGCAAUGCACGAAAGUGUGACGGGGCUACUUCUUNCUNAGUGCCGUCCGCUGAGGAUGGCUUUUCCCUGGUGUAAGGAGCCGGGGGAAUAAGGAGAGGGCAAGUCUGGUGUCAGCCGCCGCGGUAAUACCAGCUCUCCGAGUGGUAGGGAUGAUUAUUGGGCUUAAAGCGUCCGUAGCCUGCCCUUCAAGUCUCUCGUUAAAUCCAGCGAUUCAAUCGUUGGACUGCGGGAGAUACUGUUGGGCUAGGGGGCGGGAGAAGCCGACGGUAUNUCCGGUGUAGGGGUAAAAUCCUAUAAUCCCGGGAGGACCACCAGUGGCGAAGGCNNUCNNCUAGCACGCGCUCGGCGGUGAG